AGUGAACGCUGGCGGUAGGCCUAACACAUGCAAGUCGAACGGCAGCACAGUAAGAGCUUGCUCUUACGGGUGGCGAGUGGCGGACGGGUGAGGAAUACAUCGGAAUCUACUUUUUCGUGGGGGAUAACGUAGGGAAACUUACGCUAAUACCGCAUACGACCUACGGGUGAAAGCAGGGGAUCUUCGGACCUUGCGCGAUUGAAUGAGCCGAUGUCGGAUUAGCUAGUUGGCGGGGUAAAGGCCCACCAAGGCGACGAUCCGUAGCCGGUCUGAGAGGAUGAUCAGCCACACUGGAACUGAGACACGGUCCAGACUCCUACGGGAGGCAGCAGUGGGGAAUAUUGGACAAUGGGCGCAAGCCUGAUCCAGCCAUACCGCGUGGGUGAAGAAGGCCUUCGGGUUGUAAAGCCCUUUUGUUGGGAAAGAAAAGCAGCAGGUUAAUACCCCGCUGUUCUGACGGUACCCAAAGAAUAAGCAACGGCUAACUUCGUG
Molecule: ribosomal RNA, 492 nt
Filed under: uncultured bacterium
Lineage: Bacteria
Description: partial 16S ribosomal RNA
Rfam family: Bacterial small subunit ribosomal RNA
Source: RNAcentral